Molecule: long non-coding RNA, 158 nt
Organism: Chiroxiphia lanceolata (lance-tailed manakin)
Lineage: Eukaryota; Metazoa; Chordata; Aves; Passeriformes; Pipridae
Exons: 3
Source: RefSeq, a predicted model, not a curated record
GAGCAUGUUCCUCGGAACAUGCGCCUGCCAAAGGGAUACUUCCUGCUGUGUGGAGAUCGGGCAUGGCCUGGUAUUCGGGCCUACCCGGAAGGGGGUCCCUGCACGGUAGGAAAGUUGGCCCUUUACAACCCGGCGAAAUUUAUAUUAGACAUUCAAUU